This 793-nucleotide ribosomal RNA is filed under the name uncultured bacterium. RNAcentral describes it as "bacterial SSU rRNA". It matches the Rfam family "Bacterial small subunit ribosomal RNA", at positions 608 to 1406 of the family's 1533-position model. The record is from RNAcentral.
CUCAACGUCGAAGUGCUCCCGAACUGUGAGCUUGAAUGACUCUGCCGUGGGAGGAAUGUGUAGUGUAGCGGUGAAAUGCUUAGAGAUUACACAGAACACCGAUUGCGAAGGCAUCUCACGAAGGGUUGAUUGACGCUGAGGCACGAAAGCGUGGGGAUCAAACAGGAUUAGAUACCCUGGUAGUCCACGCAGUAAACGAUGAUGGCUAACCGCUGGGUAAUACUAUUCAGUGGCCAAGCGAAAGCGAUAAGCCAUCCMCCUGGGGAGUACGACCGCAAGGUUGAAACUCAAAGGAAUUGACGGGGGCCCGCACAAGCGGAGGAACAUGUGGUUUAAUUCGAUGAUACGCGAGGAACCUUACCCGGGCUCGAACGGCUGGUGAAGAGAUCCAGAGAUGGUGACGUCCUUCGGGACACCAGUCGAGGUGCUGCAUGGUUGUCGUCAGCUCGUGCCGUGAGGUGUCGGCUCAAGUGCCAUAACGAGCGCAACCCUUGCCGUCAGUUACCAUCAAGUAGUGUUGGGGACUCUGGCGGGACUGCCACCGCAAGGUGUGAGGAAGGGGGGGAUGACGUCAAAUCAGCACGGCCCUUACGUCCGGGGCGACACACGUGUUACAAUGGCGGCCACAGAGGGGCACUACCUGGCGACAGGAUGGGAAUCUCGAAAAGCCGUCUCAGUCCGGAUCGGAGUCUGCAACCCGACUCCGUGAAGCUGGAUUCGCUAGUAAUCGCGCAUCAGCCAUGGCGCGGUGAAUACGUUCCCGGGCCUUGUACACACCGCCCGUCAAGCCAUG